AGUUGACGGAGCACGCGCGUGAGUGAUGAAGGUUCGGAUCUAACUCUGUUGUUAGGGAAGAACAAGUGCAUAUAACUGAUGGCACCUUGACGGUACCUAACCAGAAAGCCACGGCUAACUACGUGCCAGCAGCCGCGGUAAUACGUAUGUGGCAAGCGUUGUCCGGAAUUAUUGGGCGUAAAGCGCUCGCAGGCGGUUCUUUAAGUCUGAUGUGAAAUCUUACGGCUCAACCGUAAACGUGCAUUGGAAACUGGGGAACUUGAGUGCAGAAGAGGAGAGUGGAAUUCCACGUGUAGCGGUGAAAUGCGUAGAGAUGUGGAGGAACACCAGUGGCGAAGCGACUCUCUGGUCUGUAACUGACGCUGAGGAGCGAAAGCGUGGGG
Molecule: ribosomal RNA, 383 nt
Filed under: uncultured bacterium
Lineage: Bacteria
Description: bacterial SSU rRNA
Rfam family: Bacterial small subunit ribosomal RNA
Source: RNAcentral